This 608-nucleotide ribosomal RNA is filed under the name uncultured archaeon. Its description in RNAcentral is "bacterial SSU rRNA". It matches the Rfam family "Archaeal small subunit ribosomal RNA", at positions 214 to 824 of the family's 1478-position model. The record is from RNAcentral.
UCUGCGGCCUAUCAGGUAGUAGUGGGUGUAGCGUACCUACUAGCCUACGACGGGUACGGGUUGUGAGAGCAAGAGCCCGGAGAUGGAUUCUGAGACACGAAUCCAGGCCCUACGGGGUGCAGCAGGCGCGAAAACUUUACAAUGCUGGCAACAGCGAUAAGGGAACCUCGAGUGCCAGGUUACAAAUCUGGCUGUCGAGAUGCCUAAAAAGCAUUUCAUAGCAAGGGCCGGGCAAGACCGGUGCCAGCCGCCGCGGUAACACCGGCGGCUCGAGUGGUAACCGUUAUUAUUGGGUCUAAGGGUCUGUAGCCGGCCGGAUAAGUCUCUUGAGAAAUCUGGCAGCUUAACUGUCAGGCUUUCAGGAGAUACUGUCUGGCUCGAGGCCGGGAGAGGUGAGAGGUACUUCAGGGGUAGGGGUGAAAUCUUGUAAUCCUUGAAGGACCACCAGUGGCGAAGGCGUCUCACCAGAACGGACCUGACGGCAAGGGACGAAAGCUAGGGGCACGAACCGGAUUAGAUACCCGGGUAGUCCUAGCCGUAAACGAUACUCGCUAGGUGUCGGCCACGGUGCGACCGUUGUCGGUGCCGUAGGGAAGCCGGAAGCGAGC